UGUAAGCGUAUACCAAAGUUGUUGCAGUUAAAACGCUCGUAGUCGGAAUUUGGCAGUUCCGGAAGUGUGCACGUCGUGUGCGCACUUUGCGGGGACUGCUUUUGUGGUCUUGCGUAGGAUGAGGCACUUUCAUUAGUGAACGUCCUCACGCAACCACUCUUUACUGUGAGAAAAUCAGAGUGCUCAAAGCAGGCAUUUGCCGUGAAUGCAUUAGCAUGGAAUAAUAGAAUAGGACUCGGUUCUAUUUUGUUGGUUUGUUGGGACUGAGUAAUGAUUAAGAGGGACAGUUGGGGGCAUUUGUAUUCCGGCGCUAGAGGUGAAAUUCUUAGAUUGCCGGAAGACAAACUGCUGCGAAAGCGUCUGCCAAGGAUGUUUUCAUUGA
Molecule: ribosomal RNA, 382 nt
Filed under: uncultured eukaryote
Lineage: Eukaryota
Description: partial 18S ribosomal RNA
Rfam family: Eukaryotic small subunit ribosomal RNA
Source: RNAcentral